Molecule: ribosomal RNA, 399 nt
Filed under: Staphylococcus aureus
Lineage: Bacteria; Bacillati; Bacillota; Bacilli; Caryophanales; Staphylococcaceae
Description: bacterial SSU rRNA
Rfam family: Bacterial small subunit ribosomal RNA
Source: RNAcentral
GGCUCAGGAUGAACGCUGGCGGCGUGCCUAAUACAUGCAAGUCGAGCGAACGGACGAGAAGCUUGCUUCUCUGAUGUUAGCGGCGGACGGGUGAGUAACACGUGGAUAACCUACCUAUAAGACUGGGAUAACUUCGGGAAACCGGAGCUAAUACCGGAUAAUAUUUUGAACCGCAUGGUUCAAAAGUGAAAGACGGUCUUGCUGUCACUUAUAGAUGGAUCCGCGCUGCAUUAGCUAGUUGGUAAGGUAACGGCUUACCAAGGCAACGAUGCAUAGCCGACCUGAGAGGGUGAUCGGCCACACUGGAACUGAGACACGGUCCAGACUCCUACGGGAGGCAGCAGUAGGGAAUCUUCCGCAAUGGGCGAAAGCCUGACGGAGCAACGCCGCGUGAGUGAU